Molecule: ribosomal RNA, 164 nt
Filed under: Impatiens sirindhorniae
Lineage: Eukaryota; Viridiplantae; Streptophyta; Magnoliopsida; Ericales; Balsaminaceae
Description: 5.8S ribosomal RNA
Rfam family: 5.8S ribosomal RNA
About the family: 5.8S ribosomal RNA (5.8S rRNA) is a component of the large subunit of the eukaryotic ribosome. It is transcribed by RNA polymerase I as part of the 45S precursor that also contains 18S and 28S rRNA.
Source: RNAcentral
AGAACGACUCUCGGCAACGGAUAUCUCGGCUCUCGCAUCGAUGAAGAACGUAGCAAAAUGCGAUACUUGGUGUGAAUUGCAGAAUCCCGUGAACCAUCGAGUUUUUGAACGCAAGUUGCGCCCGAAGCCAUUAGGUUGAGGGCACGCCUGCCUGGGCGUCUCGU